Molecule: long non-coding RNA, 2473 nt
Organism: Cebus imitator (Panamanian white-faced capuchin)
Lineage: Eukaryota; Metazoa; Chordata; Mammalia; Primates; Cebidae
Exons: 3
Source: RefSeq, a predicted model, not a curated record
GCACUAUUGAGAAAAGAUAGUAGAGAGGCUAGAUUUAAAGCAGAAGGUCAGUUUGUAGGACUGUGGCAGUUGUCUCCAUGACACAUAUGUAACAGUAACAGUCACAGGAGUUAGACUGAAGUCUUUAGAAAGGCAUAUAUAGUUCUAGGUAAUGUAUAUGAAAGGAGAGGAUUUUUGUCUCUGGGGACUCAUUGAAGAAGGUUUGCUAGAGGAGGGAGAAAAAUAAGUUAUGCCAUAGACAUAGGUGAGAUUGCCAUAUAUGGAAAUAUAUGAUGAAGAGGAAUGCAUAAGCAAAGGCAUAUAGAGAGGCAGGUACCAGAUAAGAUAGUCUAUUUGUCUAAACAGUAACAAGGCUGUGCAAAUGAGUUAAUGAAGAAAAAGACAGAAGCCAUAUUGUAUACAACUUCCACCCAUGAGCAUGUUCCACAGUAUUAAAAGACCUGCAGUCAACACCGAGCAUUUUAAAACAAAGCCUGGGAUGAUUUCAGAGAGCAGGAUGUCCAAGGAACUAUUAUUUUUAAAUAAAUUGCUUGGCAGUUUGUGGCUAGGGAUCCACUUUCAAUGUGGUAUAAUUUUCCCUUCUAAGAAUUGAAAAUACUCUUUAUAUGUAUUAAAAUCACUGCAAACUAGUUCUGAAGUCAAUUUUGGACUUCAUUCUUCUCUAACAGCAUGAAACCAUGCAUUAGCUCACUCUUUUGGGAUGGGAGACAUCAAAUAGGGAAAAAAGCAAAUAAAUGUAGGCACACGUUAUUGUACACAAUUUUAUGCUCAAAACCAGAUACAUGUGUGGCAUAUUAGUGAACUAUGCCAUCCCAAUAUGUGGGCAUUUAUACUUGAUGAUUUCAUGGGCUAAGAAGGAAUACUCAGAGCCCAAAUACCUCAGUCAUAGGGAACAGAAAAGACUUGGCUGUCAACUUAAUUCAACCUAAAAGAUGAUGUUAACCAUUUAAAUUGACUUGAAUAAAAAGACAUUUUAGCAUAGGUAUUUUAAUGUAACAAUCAUAUCAAUACAUAAAAUUUUGUGUGUGUGUGUGUGUGUGUGUGUGUGUGUGUGUGAGAGAGAGAGAGAGAGAGAGAGAGAGAGAGAGAGAGUUUAGCUAAGUAAUGUAUUCAAGAGAUAGCAACAUCCCUGGUUUUCACCAAUUUCUGAGCCUAUGCAAAGCAUUGGUAACACUCUGGGUGAAGUACUAAGGCAUAAAAAAACAUAUUCUAAAAGUUCUAAAAAAUUAAGUGGUUUUAAAAUUUACAGUCUAAUAAGAUGGCUCCAAAACAAAAUAUCGUGUAUUCAAGCCAAACACAUCUCUUCCCUUCUCUUCUACAGCUUCAUGAAAAUGUGAUCAUCUAUUCACAGGAGAUUUUCUAUGAUGGGGAACUCAUUUUCUUGCAAUGACCCCCUUCCAAUAUUAAGAAAGUAUUAUUACAACUUAUAACAUUUAUAUAAUAUAUUGAGCCAUUACUAGGUCUUAGGUACUGAGCUAAAAGCUUUAUCAGUAUUAUUUCACUUAUUCUUCACAAUAACUUUAUGAGAUAAGUACUGCUAUUAUCCCCAAUUUAUAGAUAAUGUAACUGCAGCUUAAAAUGUUUAAGUAACUAGCACAAGUCACACAGUCAACAUCAGAGGAAGAUGUUUCCAAACUAGGGUUCAUCUUCUCCCAUCCCUGACCAUACUCGUCACUCAUAUAGCUCUCUAGCUGUGCUUCCUUAAAACCUCCAGAACCAGCCUGCUCUCUUCAAAAUAAAUAAAUCCUGGUCUCCUCUCUGGAAUCUUAGAACAUAGAAGACCCUUAGACCGGGGGCUCAGGUAGACUUAGGUUUUCAUACCACGUCAUCUGUGUGUUAAUCUUGUAAAAAUCCCUAAGCCCCACUUUUCAAGUAUGCAAAUGAGGAUACUAAAUCCCAACUCUCAGUUUUGCUAUGAGAACUGAAUGAAGAAUCCUAUGUAAAGUGUUUUUUAUGCUGCUCAAUAGAUAACAGGCAUACUCAAUAAUAGUAAGUUCCCUUCCUGUCUAGGUUCCUUCAACUCUUGUUAUUGAAUGUCUUCCAUCUUUUCCUUAAGAGGUCAUUGGGUAUCUACAGUGCUUUCUCAAUAUUUUAACUGCCAAAUCCUCUCACUUGAAUAACUUCCAAUGUAUAACAACUCUUGGAACAAAACAGAGAACUCUAGGGGGAAUGUUACCUGUCUACGCUGGAGAGGAACCAUCUUACCUACUUCACCUAAAUAGCUUUUUCCUUUGAAAGCAGACUCUUCUAUUGGCUGACCACAUUGGAUCCUUCUCUACUCCUACAGAAGACUGGAUUCUACUACCCUUCACAUCCCAGUUUCUGUAUCUGCCAAAAGUGGAUAAUAAAGACCACUUUGGAGAGCUGUUGGAGGAGUGAGAUGAGCAAUUCCCAUAAAGUUUCUGCCAAAGGAGGCUUUGGGAUUAUGCUGAGAAAGGAUAAAAGCAGUGUUUACUGGAUAAAGAAAAUGUGG